UCCGGAAUAGCCUUUCGAAAGAAAGAUUAAUACCGGAUAGCAUACGAAUAUCGCAUGAUAUUUUUAUUUAAAGAAUUUCGGUCAUCGAUGGGGAUGCGUUCCAUUAGGUUGUUGGCGGGGUAACGGCCCACCAAGCCUUCGAUGGAUAGGGGUUCUGAGAGGAAGGUCCCCCACAUUGGAACUGAGACACGGUCCAAACUCCUACGGGAGGCAGCAUG
This 218-nucleotide ribosomal RNA is filed under the name uncultured bacterium. RNAcentral describes it as "partial 16S ribosomal RNA". It matches the Rfam family "Bacterial small subunit ribosomal RNA", at positions 137 to 353 of the family's 1533-position model. The record is from RNAcentral.